GAAGGGCUUAAGAAAAUAGGAGAUUUGAAACCUUGACGCUGGGCUGGGCUAAGAAGCUGUCCCUGGCCUCGGAGCAACGUGGUCUUGGGUGGCACCUCUGCGUGGGUCUUUGUCCUUCUUAUCAAGACCUGGGACCUGUUGGAUCAGGACCACCCUCCAGAUCUCAGUACCUCCAUCACCUGUUUAGAGACCCUGCUUUCAAAUACAGACACACUGCAGUGCCCUUGUGGCUUGAAUUUGGGGGAGAACAUCUCUGAAGAGUUUACUGUACAGGAUCUAUUGAAGCCCAUCCAUCCAAGGAGCUCCUGUUGGAAACAAACCGAAACGUUGUGCGCGGCUCUGUGCACAAGUCCCAUCUUCCACCAGCCCAGCCAUCUGCCUUCCUUGGUCCACAUCCAAGCUCCCCACGGCUGCUGGAGAAAAAUUGCACGACCGAGCAAAUUCGUGUUACUACAGAAUCUUGAUCUUCAACCCCAGCUGGGCCCUCGUGGGAGCAAGCAGUGCUGUGUGCUCUGUCACCCGUCCUCAGUGCCAACGACAUCAGGCUGUUCCUGUUGUCCCCGGCCCCUGCCCUGAACACUCUGCUGUGGACCUUGCCUCCUCCCGGCCAUCACUGGGUCCUUCUGUGUCUCAAAUUAGCUGUGAUGAAUCUUUUCUAUAACCCUAAAGAUUGCAUUUCUUGAAGCUUACCUUAAUUACAAGACCUUGUUCCACAUAAGGUCACAUUCUGA
This is a long non-coding RNA of Marmota flaviventris (yellow-bellied marmot), 731 nucleotides long. RefSeq lists it as uncharacterized. The record is from RefSeq and is a predicted model, not a curated record. Lineage: Eukaryota; Metazoa; Chordata; Mammalia; Rodentia; Sciuridae.